This 77-nucleotide small RNA is filed under the name Erwinia persicina. RNAcentral describes it as "partial RtT sRNA". It matches the Rfam family "RtT RNA", at positions 51 to 130 of the family's 130-position model. Rfam says of the family: This family represents a bacterial cis-regulatory element known as RtT RNA. The exact function of RtT is unknown although it is thought that it may be involved in changing the cellular response in relation to amino acid starvation. Lineage: Bacteria; Pseudomonadati; Pseudomonadota; Gammaproteobacteria; Enterobacterales; Erwiniaceae. The record is from RNAcentral.
AGCGCAGUGAGACAGCGUUGCUGGAGGCAACGACCCGGAGGGCGAGGCAGCGCCGAGUCAUCCUGCACGACCCACCA